This 18-nucleotide non-coding RNA is filed under the name Arabidopsis thaliana (thale cress). Lineage: Eukaryota; Viridiplantae; Streptophyta; Magnoliopsida; Brassicales; Brassicaceae. The record is from RNAcentral.
GGCAGAGUGGCCUUGCUG